Molecule: non-coding RNA, 72 nt
Organism: Pangasius djambal
Lineage: Eukaryota; Metazoa; Chordata; Actinopteri; Siluriformes; Pangasiidae
Source: the annotation of a GenBank genome assembly
AGUGUCAGCUCAGUGGUUAAGACCUUGGACUACUGAUCAGAAGGUCAUGAGUUCAAACCUCAAACGGUGCUG